This 780-nucleotide long non-coding RNA is filed under the name Ananas comosus (pineapple). RNAcentral describes it as "long non-coding RNA (ACOM_LNC015336)". The record is from RNAcentral. Lineage: Eukaryota; Viridiplantae; Streptophyta; Magnoliopsida; Poales; Bromeliaceae.
UUAAUUAGGACCAGCAAUUCAGCUCGCUAUUCCAUGCUACUUGGUAUUCGACUCGAAAUGUGCUCGAAAUCGAUCGCUCGUUUAAUAAAGAAGCGGAACACGAGCUGAAUUUUUCAGCUCGAAAUAUUAACAAGCCGAGCACGAGCUGAGAUCAGCUCACUCGUGUUCUGCUCGAUAAGACACACAUAUCGCAUACACACACAUAAAUUUUACUAUUUAGAUUUUAUACCAACCCAAUGUAAAAGACCCUAUACUUUACAAACUUUAAUUAUUAAAGGAAAAACUUCAAAAACCCCCUUGUAGUUUCAUAGUUUUUUCACUUUGCCCCUCUGUGGUUUAAAAUGUAUCAAUUUGCCCCCCUGUGGUUUCUUUUUUCUCUUUUUCUUAUCAAUUUCAUUAUUUUUUUUUAAAUCAAUAAUAAAGUUAAAAUUAAAGGGUACUAAAGUGAAUAUUUUAUAAAUCUAUAUGGGUAUCUGAAAUUUUUUGUAUAUAAUUUAAUGAAAUAUUAACGAAAAAACUACCGAAAAUAUAAAAACGAAACCACAGGAAGGCAAUUUGAUACAUUUUAAACUACAGGAGGGCAAAGUGAGAAACUACGAAACCACAUGAGAGAUUUUUGAAGUUUUUUCAUUAUUAAAUUAAGAUUCUAAUUUUUUUUUAUUUUUUCCAACUUUCUAUUCCGUAAUUAACGGAGCUGCCAAUCUAACUUACUAUUUGUAAUUAUAAACGAGCGUCAUAUUUAACUCGUUAAUAAAUAAGUAAAAUAUAAAUUGAAUUUUU